Molecule: ribosomal RNA, 489 nt
Filed under: uncultured bacterium
Lineage: Bacteria
Description: partial 16S ribosomal RNA
Rfam family: Bacterial small subunit ribosomal RNA
Source: RNAcentral
GAUGAACGCUAGCUACAGGCUUAACACAUGCAAGUCGAGGGGCAGCAUGAACUUAUCUUGCUAAGUUUGAUGGCGACCGGCGCACGGGUGAGUAACACGUAUCCAACCUGCCGAUGACUCGGGGAUAGCCUUUCGAAAGAAAGAUUAAUACCCGAUGGCAUAGUUCUUCCGCAUGGUAGUACUAUUAAAGAUUUUCGGUCAUCGUUGGGGAUGCGUUCCAUUAGGUUGUUGGCGGGGUAACGGCCCACCAAGCCUUCGAUGGAUAGGGGUUCUGAGAGGAAGCUCCCCCAGAUUGGAACUGAGACACGGUCCAAACUCCUACGGGAGGCAGCAGUGAGGAAGAUUGGUGAAGGGACGAUAGUCUGAACCAGCCAAGUAGCGUGAAGGAGUACUGCCCUAUGGGUUGUAAACUUCUUGUAUACGAGAAAAAAGUGAGGCACGUGUGCCUUUUUGUAGGUACCGGAUGAAUAAGAAUCGGCUAACUCCGUG